Molecule: long non-coding RNA, 3410 nt
Filed under: Panax ginseng (ginseng)
Lineage: Eukaryota; Viridiplantae; Streptophyta; Magnoliopsida; Apiales; Araliaceae
Description: long non-coding RNA (PGIN_LNC013257)
Source: RNAcentral
CGCCCCCAAACUCGGGUACUUGAAACCCUUAUUCAGUGCUUCACGAUAUCAAACAUUCAACAUAAAAUAAACUAAAACUUAGUAAAGUUAUUACAUCAAAGUGCUACUAAUCCCAGGUACGUAGACCUUUAAACCUUCAUUACAUGAUAAUUUAAUAUUUACAAACAUGUCAACUAACUAUUACAUCAACCUUCAGCUAUUCUACUAUUUUUCCUUUUCCCUUUUCUUUUCCAGACCCUUCCGCCCAAGUCUGCUCAGCUGAAAACAUUUAUAAAUAAACAAGUAUAAGCAUUUAAUUGCUCAGCAAGUAAUAGCAUUCUUAAAGGUUUAACAAGAAAUAAAUGUUUUCUUUGAAGCAUGCUUUGACAGUGAAUCAAAACUGUAAAGCAAUAAAUCUUGAAUCGUUCACAUUUCUGGAAUAUCAUAACAACAUUGAAUAACUGAGAGGUUUUAAGACCAUGAACAUAUUUUUCUUUUCUUGAAAAGGUUCAAUCAGAAAUAUUAUCAGAUGAACCGUCUUAUCUUACGAGCACGUAAGGUGAUCAAUCCUUUAUGCCAUGUAUUGAUCAAUACUAUCUUUUCCAGAACAAUUUUCAUGUUCUACAUCACCACUCCCAGAGUGCAAUAAAAAUAUCCCAUUUCUGGGUAUGUUCAUUCUCAGUUUUAGAUUCCAACUACAACAAUAUAGCUGGACAUCUUAAAUCAUGGCACAAUAAUAUUUCAAGACUUAAUAUAAAGAAUUUGAAAUAUUUUACAUCUGUGUCUGGCCAGAAGGAAUGGCUCAGACUUCUUUGCAACCUGUUCAAGCAUAUUGAAUUGCUUUUGAUAUACAUGAUAAGACAUUACUCAAUCUUUUGAAGCUGAUUGGAAUAAAAAGAUUAUUCAAUCUUAUAAUAUUCAUAAAUAAGGAAAGACAGUUCAGAAAUUAGAGAACCUGUCAACAUAUGAAUAAUCUCAUAAUACUUGCUCAUUAAAGAGUAAAAUUUAGAUACUUGCCUUGUUGAUGAACUAUGAAUAUAAAAAUUCAGCUUAACUUGUUCCCACAAAUCCUACAUAAUCAUAUUUCCAUUCACAAAUGCAUUAGCCAAGCAUUCGAGUCAUAUAACUUGCAUAUACACAUAUCACAUAGUCACAGUGAUCAUGUUUUUAGUUUAUAUAAAAUAUUUUUAUACAUUUUUCAAAUAUCUCAUCCAUGUUCUUAUAACAAUCAUUUCUUUCUUUUAUAGGGUCUGACAUAACCUUUUGUUCAAGAUUCUUCUAUGAUUUUAGUUUAUAUUUCUUUUCCAAGUUAUGUCAAGUUAAUUCUGUCGCGGAAUUUAGCAAUUCUUUGCGACACUAAUAGCCUAAACUUGGCUUAGUAACUUUAAAAGUCUAAUCAUAAUAACCAUUAUUUUAUAAUAAAUUAUGUGUUUUAGGUGUGACUAAAACUUGUUUGGAUAAUUUAUAGUUUUAAUCAUUUGUAGUUUCAAUUUUUUAUACUAAGAUGCUAAACAUUCUUGUUUACUAUUAAAAUGCCAAAACAUCCCUUUGAGGCUUUAAUAGUUUAAACAUGACUUAAUAAUUUUAAAUUAGAGGUUCAUCUAUGCUAGCUUUAUUUUAGAGUGUACUAACUCACUUAUACAAAACUUGGGUCCCUUAUAGAUGUGUUAAAACUAACAUGUUUUCACAGCAUACCAAAAUAUUACCAUUCAUGUUAAUAAACCACCCAACCAUAAACACUGCUGUAGCAGCUUCUGGGUUGUUGAAUAGGCCAAUUGUUGCUUUCUAUGGGCAGUAGCCCUUAUUGCUUACCCCAUGCCUUGACCAACCUUUAAUGCAUACACCUUUAAUUUGAUUAUAUAUAAUUAAGCCACAUUAAUAGCAUAAUCUGAUAAACAUAGGUUGGUUGAUUAUAAGCUAAGUAAAUCCCCAGGUAAUUGCUCCCAAAAUGGCUACUGCUGCUACCGUUAGGCAGCAGCCCUGCCCCUCUUCCCAUUUCUAAGUUAUAACUUAUUUACUCUAAUAUGCUAUAAUUUUGGAGGCAAUGCAGUUUGCAUACCUCUAUAUUUAGCAAAAUACUAAUCAAGUUGUAUAAACAUCUUAAUCAAGUCAACUGAGAGCUCAAAAGAAAGCCCCAGCCCUGCCCACUACAACUACUACUGCCACGGCUACUGUUAUAGGCAGCAAUCUUUAGCCUAACAUGGCUAUUUUUUUUCUAAUCUCAUGCUUCUAACCACAUGAUGAUUUACCUCCCUUUUUAAAUAUAUAAUAUAUAGCAAAAGAGAGUAUAUCUAGAAAUUAUAAAAUCUCUAUUUCAAGCUUGCUAGACAGCACAACUUAGCACUCAAAGUUGCCUUGAUAUACCAUUUUUUCAAUUUUUUUAUAUUAGCUUGAAUUUGUAUUUUCGUUUCACUCUAAUAUAUUUAAACUUACUAAUUAUCAUCACAUGAAAUACAGGAAUCAAUCCCCAAGCUUUAAUUCUAUCAAAUAAUCAAUUAUUAGGCAAAACAGUUCAUUGAAGAAUUUUAUCAAACACUUUACAGGCACUGUUUUGCAACACAAGUGCCAUUGCUUUUUAGUUUCUGUAAAUCCCCAAUUAAGCUCCCUUAUUACUCCACAGCCACUUAUCUCCUUGUGCCUAAAUUGUACUCAUAGCAGUUAAAUACUCAGCCACAUGCAUGUCAAGUAGUUGAUAAUCUAAUUAAUUUAUUUUCUUCAUAACAAGCAAUUCUUUUGAUAACCACAUAUUUAUACUAAAUAGAAAAAAAAAACCAACUGCUAAGCAUGCUAUCCUUAAAUGGUUUCACUGCUUCAUAAAAUUGGUAGCACACACUCCCAAUCAAACCCGUAGCAAUUUCCAUAACCAUCAAUUAGUUCAUACUAAACUUCUUAAAGUAAAUAUAUAUAGCAAAGAUGCAUUACCUUUCUAAGCCUUGAUUUUCGAAUUAGUUGGUUGUAACCCAAAAACUUCCGAGUUUCUCCCACUUGAUAGCAAAGCUUUCCCAAAACUAACAGAACAUAAAGCGUCCAGCAAGUUUUUCUUUUAAAAACAUAGACCCUUUUACUAGAAAAUGAACUGGAGAAGGACUAUAAUAUAUCUAGGUUCGGAUAUCUCUAUCAAAGAUUUCCACUUAAAAGGAGUAUAUACGUGGUUAAUAUGUUGGUAGGCUAACUGAGUUAUUAAGGCUAGGUUUCUGAUUAAACUCCAGCUCAUGGAUCAAUUCCUGAUUAACAGCCACAUAUCCCACAUAAACUGAGUUUUAAUUUCUACUGUUAACUUUAAUUCCUAAGGUUGUGUUUGGCAAGAAAAAAAAACAAUUACCUCCCUUUCUAUACUUAUUGCACCACAUAUAAUGUAUUUUAGAUAUAACAAAAUGCAUUUUGUUAUAAAGUGAUUCCCUCAACAGGAGGGAUCACCCGUGCUCUCUCCC